GCUGUACACCUGCUCUGUUCAGUAGUUGCAAGCUCGUUGUUUUCUGGGCAGUUCAGAUGCCUCACCAAGAUGAAGUUCCCAGUUGAAGACAUGUGGCUGUGCCCUGUGAACUUUGGUACACACUGGAUUCUUGUGAUUGUCAACAUUUCUGCACAGAAAAUACUGCUCAUAGACCCCAUGGGGAAUGAAGGUGUUUAUGACAGGAAAAUUCUGCGCAACUGGAGGAAUUUUCUGAGGAUGAGAGGGCAUGAAGACACCAUGGAGUGGCAGUUACACACUAUGCAACACAACAAGCAACAGGAUUCCAGCAGUUGCGGAGUUUUGCUGUUAAAGUUUGCAGAACAGUACCUUGCUUUUGGAGAGGUCAGUGAGGUGUUAACCACUACAGAAGCAGUUGUGCUGGAGCGAAUGCAGAUAGCUUGCACCCUACUUGAACAUCGAGGGAACGCUGAGGACUACUGCAUUGUUUGCUCUAUGUUAGAUGCUGAUGCUGACCGCAGCAUGAUUGAAAUGGUGCAGUGUGAAUCUUGCCAAAGAUGGGCACAUUUUGCAUGUGCAAAAUAUAAAGAGAGCAAUCAAGAAUAUAAAUGCAAAAAAUGUAAGGAAAACACAUAACAACUUCAAAUAAAAACACCUGUCUUUUCCCCUCCAUGUCUCUUUGUAUUCUUUGUCAACAUUAGAUGAUUGUGUGCUGGAGGCACGUUUUGAUAGUGUGAUUUGGCCAUCUGAACGUCCUACCUAAAUAAAUCCAAGCA
Molecule: long non-coding RNA, 755 nt
Organism: Oreochromis aureus
Lineage: Eukaryota; Metazoa; Chordata; Actinopteri; Cichliformes; Cichlidae
Source: Ensembl